This 972-nucleotide long non-coding RNA is filed under the name Cicer arietinum (chickpea). RNAcentral describes it as "long non-coding RNA (CARI_LNC001635)". Lineage: Eukaryota; Viridiplantae; Streptophyta; Magnoliopsida; Fabales; Fabaceae. The record is from RNAcentral.
CCUGUUGAAUCUCAAUUAAUACAUUACCUGUUGAGCUGCAGACCCAACAGGCCUUAAGAUUUGUGUUGCUUUAUCUUCAUACACAUUGACUGAAUCCCUAAUCUCUGCAGGAAGGAACUCCUUGGCUGAUCCAUAAAGGUAAACAACAUAGGAAGCCCCAGUUGAUAAAGAACUCUCUACCGCAACGAUUGUGCGGCGCAACACAUCACUAGCCAAAGCAGGUGUUAAUUGGUUCAUAAUGAUUUAUAUUUUCUCUAGUGAUAUGUCCUUCAACAACCUUUCGGGGAGCAUUCCACUAGAGAUUGGACAACUACAGAACCUUGUGGCUCUGUAUGUCUAACUAUGAAGAGUUUUGUGCUUGAUGUUUUGUGUUUAUUCCUUGUCGGGUAACCAUUUUGAGAGUAAAGAAUCAUGUUGAAUCUCAAUUAAUACAUUACCUGUUGAGCUGCAGACCCAACAGGCCUUAAGAUAUGUGUUGCUUUAUCUUCAUAGACAUUGACUGAGUCCCUAAUCUCUGCAGGAAGGAACUCCUUGGCUGAUCCAUGAAGGUAAACAACAUAGGAAGCCCCAGUUGAUAAAGAACUCUCUACUGCAACGAUUGUGCGGCGCAACACAUCACUAGCCAAAGCAGGUGCCUUAUUUGUGACUCCACUUACCUCACUUGAAAAGCUAGUAAUUUUCUUAUUCGCCAAUUCACUCGUUUGAUCAACAGCAGAAAAUGCCUUACUAAAAGCAUUAUCUGCCGAUGUAGUAGCAUUUUUAACAACGGAAUCGAUGAAAGAAGUGGCUGUAUCCAGCGAGCUUCGUAAAGCAGUUUCUCCCUUACUAAUAGAAACAUUAAAUGACUCAUUGAUUCCAGAAAACAGGUCACCAACACUUGCUUUUGUAGACGAUUCAUUACCCCCUUCAACCAAACUACUCGUUGAUUCAAACUUCCCCGACGUUACAUCAGUACUAAAAAAUAGAGCCUCC